RNAcentral lists this ribosomal RNA (229 nucleotides) under uncultured bacterium. RNAcentral describes it as "partial 16S ribosomal RNA". It matches the Rfam family "Bacterial small subunit ribosomal RNA", at positions 568 to 796 of the family's 1533-position model. The record is from RNAcentral.
UGCGUAGGUGGUUUGAUAAGUCAGAGGUGAAAGCCCACCGCUUAACGGUGGAACUGCCUUUGAUACUGUCAGACUUGAAUAAGGUUGAGGUCGGCGGAAUGUGUCAUGUAGCGGUGAAAUGCAUAGAUAUGCCAUAGAACACCAAUUGCGAAGGCAGCUGACUAGACCUGUAUUGACGCUGAGGCACGAAAGCGUGGGGAGCGAACAGGAUUAGAUACCCUGGUAGUCC